CCUACGGGUGGCUGCAGUGAGGAAUAUUGGUCAAUGGGCGCGAGCCUGAACCAGCCAAGUCGCGUGAAGGAUGAAUGUUCUAUGGGUCGUAAACCUCUUUUAUAAGGGAAUAAAGUGAGGCACGUGUCCUUUUUUGUAUGUACCUUAUGAAUAAGGAUCGGCUAACUCCGUGCCAGCAGCCGCGGUAAUACGGAGGAUCCGAGCGUUAUCCGGAUUUAUUGGGUUUAAAGGGUGCGUAGGUGGUGUUUUAAGUCAGUUGUGAAAGUCUGCGGCUCAACCGUAAAAUUGCAAUUGAUACUGGCAGGCUUGAGUACAGUUGAGGUAGGCGGAAUUCGUGGUGUAGCGG
RNAcentral lists this ribosomal RNA (346 nucleotides) under uncultured bacterium. RNAcentral's name for it is "partial 16S ribosomal RNA". It matches the Rfam family "Bacterial small subunit ribosomal RNA", at positions 338 to 681 of the family's 1533-position model. The record is from RNAcentral.